This 744-nucleotide ribosomal RNA is filed under the name Albugo gomphrenae. Its description in RNAcentral is "LSU rRNA". It matches the Rfam family "Eukaryotic large subunit ribosomal RNA", at positions 79 to 720 of the family's 3401-position model. The record is from RNAcentral. Lineage: Eukaryota; Oomycota; Peronosporomycetes; Albuginales; Albuginaceae.
CUCAGUAACGGCGAGUGAAGCGGGAAGAGCUCAAGCUUAAAAUCUCCAAGCAAGUUCUUGCCUGGCGAAUUGUAGCCUAUGGAAGCGAUGUCAGUGCCGUCGGCAGGACCAAGUUCCUUGGAAUAGGACAGCAAGGAGGGUCAUACUCCCGUCUGUGUCCAGUUGACGUGCUCGUACGACACGCUCUCUUCGAGUCGCGUUGUUUGGGAUUGCAGCGCAAAGCAGGUGGUAAACUCCAUCGAAAGCUAAAUACCGGUAGAGACCGAUAGCGAACAAGUACCGUGAGGGAAAGAUGAAAAGAACUUUGAAAAGAGAGUUAAAAGUACCUGAAACUGCUGAAAGGGAAGCGAAUCGCGUCUACUGUCCCUUCGCGUUCAUCGCGUUUCUCUAGCCACUUUGAGGGUACGAAGCGUUGGUGUCGCGGUGGAGUCAGAGUCAGUUCCGAUCGUGGUCCUUGCCGGUCACUAGAGCUUAUUGCACGUACUUGCGAGAGGCGUAACUAACCCGGAUGGGGUCGUGGUCGGGAUUGAGGUGUCUACAACAUGCAAUCAAGUCCGGUGCGCGCGUUUCCGCGAGGCGGGGGGAGAGUCAACUCGAACCUAUGUCGACGAGGCUGCGCGCGUGGUGGAUAACUUGCGCUGUUCGGGACUCUGGCAAAAUGGAGCGAUUCGACCCGUCUUGAAACACGGACCAAGGAGUCUAACAUGUGUGCGAGUGUUUGGGUGGCAAACCCCGACGCGGAAU